This 365-nucleotide ribosomal RNA is filed under the name uncultured eukaryote. RNAcentral's name for it is "partial 18S ribosomal RNA". It matches the Rfam family "Eukaryotic small subunit ribosomal RNA", at positions 592 to 976 of the family's 1831-position model. The record is from RNAcentral.
CAAUAGCGUAUAUUUGAGUUGUUGCAGUUAAAAAGCUCGUAGUCGGAUUUUGGCUGAGAACGAUCGGUCCGCCGUUAGGUGUGCACUGAUUGGUCUCAGCUUCCUGGUGAGGAGGUGUGCUUCACGGCCACUUAGUCACCGUGGUUACUUUGAAAAAAUUAGAGUGUUCAAAGCGGGCUUACGCUUGAAUAUAUUAGCAUGGAAUAACACCAUAGGACUCCUGUCCUAUUUCGUUGGUCACGGGACGGGAGUAAUGAUUAAGAGGAACAGUUGGGGGCAUUCGUAUUUCAUUGUCAGAGGUGAAAUUCUUGGAUUUAUGAAAGACGAACUUCUGCGAAAGCAUUUGCCAAGGAUGUUUUCAUUGA